Long non-coding RNA from Homo sapiens (human), 5151 nucleotides. Ensembl annotates it as small nucleolar RNA host gene 14. Its record names the gene SNHG14. NCBI's taxonomy places the organism in Eukaryota, Metazoa, Chordata, Mammalia, Primates, Hominidae. The record is from Ensembl.
GGAUCGAUGAUGACUUAAAAAAAUGGAAACCUUGGAAAUCUGAACAAAAUGAGUGACCAAGACACUUCUGUGAGCUGAGGUCCAGCACAGGGACCAUACCAGGCAAACCCGUGGAGGGCGUUCAGUUUGGUCAGGAACUGGUACCAAAACGAACCCACUUGCAUAUGUUAGAGCAGAUGAAUUGUACAGAGGCCUAUAUAUCUUCGGGAAUUACAUGACAAUGAUUUAAGUGCAUGGCUGACAGCCUUCAAACACCUAGUAAUCAGGCUUUGGGGUACCAGCGUCAGAGGAGUGAACACUGUAGAAAUGGCUGUGCCAGCACUCGAGUCAUUCACACUAUUUUCGUAGACGCCACAACAUUCUUAAACGGAAGUGAUUUUGGAAUUGCAUGGAAUUCUCACUGCCAUCCCAAAGAAAUGCUGAUCUUGUCACUCUUACCUGUUUCAUUCCCUGGGGGCAGAACAAAAGGACGCACUCCAAAGAUCGGCAUGAACCAAGAACUGGGUUUCAUAUAAAAUAUUUUAUUCUGUCCUCUUGAGAUGUGACAUGAGAAAAGUAUUGAGAAUACUUCUAUCACCUCAUCUUCAAGAAUCCGUAGGAAUUCUCCCAUGGUGGACUUUACGGUUAACCUGAACAGGUCUUGGAAAAAGGACUUUAAACAUUCUCCUGUUCUGUGGAAUAAGUAUACUUUUUUCUGGACAUACACCUUGUCAGUGAGUUCCAUGUGAUACUAGAGUUGCAUAGAUUUUUAACCUUUACGCCAAUGAAGAUCUGAGGCAAACAUUGCCCCUUUUUUAGAAGUUUGCAUUUGUCACUGAUAACUGUAAUAAUUGAUCUUGUUGAAAAGCCUGGGAAAUGAAGAUCUGAUAUGUCACUUUUACCGGCUUCCUCAACUGAAAAAGAAUACAAUGAAACACGCUGAGAAUUUUUGUGCUUUCUCAGUCUUGCUGAUGAUCUUUCUAUGGGCCUGAAGCGUGGAGAGUGCCAGAGAGGCUGAUCCUCAGCAGUGUGGCAGAGGAAAGUUGGGUGCGACUAAGGGAUUGGAAGUGAUAUUGGUGGAAGACAACAUUUUGCCGCUUGGAAUUCUCACCUCCACACCAAAGAAGUACUGUUUUUGUCAUUUGCACCAGCUUCUUUCUCCAGGAAAGAUCAAAACGAUGCACUGCAAGUGUGAUUGGUCCAGAUAGCUGCCUUAUCCAACUGCCUCCUUUGGACCACUUCAUCAUGGGACAGCUUGAUGCAAUCUACUUGACAAGACCCUGGAACCCCACACCCCUCAUGGAACCAGUGUCCACCUCCCAGUCACAGUGUGACCCCAGGGAACUCUUGCCUGCUUGCUUUAAACCCACCACUUAAAAGUCUCCACAGAAAACCUGUUUGAAUAGUACCCUUGACCCAAUAAGGGCAUUGGCCCCUGGGUGUCUCUCUCUCUCUCUCUCUCUCUCUCUCCCUCUCUCUCCCUCUCUCUCUCUCGCUCCCUGACCUCUGCGUGUGGACUCCAGGCAUGCCAUAUACCCCUCAGGACCUGAAGCAAAAGAAUGAAUUAAAGAAAACUCCAGAGAAUGAGCUGACAACCUACUCCCUGGUCAGUGGCUCUCCAUGCCUACCUGUGGUCUCUUGGACACCCUUGCAGAAGAUGACUUCCUGGGAACUCUUCUGGGAGUGAAUGUUAUCAGCAAAUUCCCAAAACAACACCCCUUAGACAAAAAGCCUCCUCACCUAUGCAUUGCCUAGACCACCCACUAAAGGUGAUGGCCACAAAGAGGUGGAUUUGUUGAGUUGGUGCCAUUCCUUCUACUGCCAGCUUCACCAAAACAAUGACACAGUCUUCCUUCCGCAUGGAGACUCUUCUCUUUCCUGUGUUGCAGUGGAUGCCUCCUGCAGAUAAGAAAUGCUUAACUGAGAAAUGCUCAUGUUGGGAUAUCAUCGAUGAGACUUUAAUUUGGGCAUGGUGACUGUUUCCCUUGCUGCCACUUGACUCAAUCCCAGGAGCCUCAGUAGAGGAUAUAAUAUUACACAAGAUGCUCAAAAUGGUGGAAUUGCUCAGUGCUCCCAUAAAUAUACAUUUAUAAUUUUCAUUUGCCACAUGGUAAACUGAAAAAUACAGACUAUAUUAAAAAGAAACUGCAUGAUUUUUUUUCAAAAAUUCAAAGCAUAUUUAAAUAAUAUAUAAAUUAAAUGCCCUCCUCUCUUCCAAUUCUGUCCCUAUAGUUUUCCUCUAUUAAGUGAACUACAUGCAUUCUUUUAGUGGAUAGAUGCACACAAACACACAAGCCAUUAUGGGGAAGGAUCCACGUGUGUGGCCAUAUUGUAACACAUUUUUCUGCAAAUCACCUCUUUCAUUUAACAGCCCUUAUUCAAUGGCCUUUUUCUUUUUCAGUAGUACAUACACAUCUGUGUCAUUUGUUGAAUGACGACAUGAAUGUUUUGUAGAUAAAAUAUAAUUAAAUGUUUUAAGCAUUUCUCACUCAUAGAUAUUUAUGUUAGCACCAAAUUUCUGUGCAAUGAACCUCCCUAUAUAUCAGUAAUUUUGCAUUUGUCUAUAAUAUCAUAAUAAAUUACUUAUCAGUUGAAUUACUGGGAUUAAGUAUGUGCACACUUUAUAUUUAUAUUUUGAAAAUUAUUGCAAGAUUGCCUUCAAAAAUGUGGUUAACAACUUUAUCUUCAAAUGGCAAUGAAUGAGAUUGCCAGCUUUCCUACAGCCUCACAGACAAUGGAUUUUAUAAAUAUUUAACAUUUUUGCCAAUGUGAUCACCCAAACUAUUGUCUUAAAUUGUAUCUCUUUUGUUUUUGAGUUUGGUCAUUUUUUCAUGUUUAUUAGCCAUCUGUAUUUUUUAAUUUCUUCUUUAUGUCCAAUUUUGUGGGUGGGAGGAGGAUUUAGUCUCUUCCUGAUUUCGAAGAGCUCAUUUACUAUUUCGGGAAAUAAGAUUUGGAUUGUCAACCAUUAUAGCUAUUUUUUACACACUUUUCAACUUUGUUUUUGUUAUAAGAAUGUGUAUGAUUGUUACAUGUCCAAGUAUAACCAUGUUCGCUUUUAUGGCUUCUGAGUUUCAUGUCAUUUUUGGAAAGAUAUAUAUAUUGAGUCCAUAAAACCCUUCACCUAUGUUAAAUUCUAAUUCUUUUGUGUUUUUUUAAUUCAAAUUCUUAAAUCAUGAGAAAUUUUUUUGUUUUGAAAUCUUAAAGUUGCCAAGUUACUUGCCAUUACUUGCGAUUAUUUGCCAAUAAUUGCCCAUUUAUCUGUACCGCCAUCUUGCGCAUAUGCUGUACUCUCAUCUGUGACUGGCUCCAUUUUUGUUCUGUGGAUUUGUGUGUCUCUUCUUCUGCCUCCUGUCUCGUGUCUGCUCGUUGGAAGAAAUUACAGUUUAGACUGCAAUUUCAUCAACUUUAAUAAAUCAAUUGAGGGGAGAAUUGGUUUUUAAAAAUAUUAAGUAAGUCUUCGUAUCCAAGGACAAGGUAUGUCUUUUCUUAUUCAAUAAUUUUAAUUACUGUUAAUAUUUUCACUGUGGUGAUGGGAGUUUUUCUUUUAAUUUAUUUUCUUGUUCAUUUUUUGUAUCUAAAGUUUUUGUUUUGUUUUGUUUUGGGGGUAAGUUGUCACCUUACUGUUUCUUGUUGCUUUUCAGAUUUUUUCAAAGUAUAGACUAAAUCCUUCACAAAUAUUUAAAGUUUUUAUUUUCCCCCUUCAUAUUGAUCCUGAUUUUAGUUAUGUUGACAAAGUCCACAGACUGUUACUAUCAGAACACUUGAACAGUUAUGGAAAUAUUACCUACCCUUGAUUUAAUCAGAGUUUAAUGGUAUGCUUCUUUGGUUUGACUGGCACAUUGUCGCUGGUCAUUUCCUCCCAAAGACCACCAGAAAGAGCUAUGAUCAAGCAAAGCUGAGUUUGUUAAACUUACCUGCAGCAAGGGAAAACACCACCUUGAUAGGGUUUAAUAAUGUUUCAAAAUCAAGAAAUGAGGCUUUGGGGUCUGGGCAGGGAACUAAUUAGAAAUGGGCAAAAUUUGUCAUGCAAUACCUUGUGGGAAAGUGAGAUGAGGUUCUUAAUGUGAGUAUUGAUGGUGAAAUCAUUUUCUAGGUGAGCUGUUUGCCUAUAUAAAGAUGUUAUCAAUGACAGAAGAACUAUUUGCCUAGAUAAACAAACUGAAUUUAUUUAUUGGUUUACAGUUUUAUCUUGCUGGGCAGGACUCUGCUGGGGGUGGUAUCAGGUCUUAUUCCCAAUAGGUAAGUUAUUUGGAUAUGGGUGGUCUUAAUCAUCAAUGUGUAAAAUGCUGAUUUUAAGUGCGAAAUACUUUGUCUACCAUGUUAGGAAAGUCUGCCACCUUUUAUCUUUUUUAAGGAAUUUUAAUCAAAACCAGGUGGUAGAUAUAAUCAAAUUGUUUUGCAGAAUCAAUUUUCCUGUUCUCUUUAAAGACUUUUAUCACUGUGAAUUAAUUUACUAUUAUUGCAACUUCCUUUAAUUCCUUGAAUGAACAGACCCUACUGGUUUUAAAAAUGUUUUAUUCUUUUAAUUUACUACUUAAUUGUGGGUAUUUUAAUUUGAUUUGGAAUUUUUACAAGUAUACAACUAAGUGAAAUUGAUCUGUGAUUUUUCUUUUUUGUGCUAUUUUUGUCAUGUUUUGAUAUCAGAUAUUCUGGUUGUGUUAAAAUAAUUUUGAGGAUUUUCUUCUUAUACUGUGUUCUAGAGUGGGUAAAAAAGCCCUAGUCUCACUAUCAGUGUUUAAGUGAACACAUCAGUGACAUCAUCUGGACUCUCCUUUGUUUUUGCUGGUUUGGAGUUAGGACAUCUAGAAGUUUUUUUCUUUUUUUCCUUUUUUUGUAUGGUUAUUGCUUGUUCUUUGUUUUGUGUCAAAUUUAACCUGUUUUCUCUUAGCAAAUCACAGCUCAUGCAGAUUUUCAAACACAUUAGCCUUGUUAUACAAAGUGUUCUUUCAUCAUUCUAUUAAAUUUCCAUUUUCAUUCCAGUUAUAGUUAUUUCUGCUGUGCCUUUGUUAAUGAAUAAGUUUAAACAGUGGAUGUUUAGCAUCACUAGCCUUCCCCUUCCAUCUCCCUUAAUCAGGACCUUGGUAUAAUUUAUCAGGUAUUUUUUAAGGUUCUAAUUUACUUAUAUAUAUUGUUUCUGUAUUCUUUUGUUUCUUUUCUUAAUAAAUUCUUAAA